UGCUAUUAUUGGAAGUGUUUUCCACAGGUAAAAUUUUUUGUUUUUCUCAAUUACUGUCGGAACUCCAUCGAAAUUUUUUCAGAAUUUGCGAAAAAAUAAAAUUGGUCAAAAAUUUUACAUAGUUUUUCAACUUUAAUUAAAUGUUUUUAGUUCCUACAAAAAAUGCUCACCACUUUCAAAAAGUAAAAAAAUGAUUCAUAAAUCUCUUGUAGUACACUUAAUGGGUUAUCGGUAAGUGAAAUUCGGUAAAUCAUUAGGUAUACUACGG
RNAcentral lists this unclassified non-coding RNA (268 nucleotides) under Hevea brasiliensis (rubber tree). The record is from RNAcentral. Lineage: Eukaryota; Viridiplantae; Streptophyta; Magnoliopsida; Malpighiales; Euphorbiaceae.